This 696-nucleotide ribosomal RNA is filed under the name Spengleria rostrata. Its description in RNAcentral is "eukaryotic LSU rRNA". The stretch from base 402 to 696 matches the Rfam family "Eukaryotic large subunit ribosomal RNA", at positions 665 to 933 of the family's 3401-position model. Lineage: Eukaryota; Metazoa; Mollusca; Bivalvia; Gastrochaenida; Gastrochaenidae. The record is from RNAcentral. RNAcentral also lists the same sequence under 1 other name.
GAUCCGCAAAGUCGACCCGGGGAAUUCAGCUCAGCGCUGCAGGACGGCGAGUCGCGCUCAGGAUCCGUCAGGACCGCGUGGGCAUGCCAAGUUCCUCAGUGGCAGGGUGCACUUUCUCCGGGUCGAGCGCCACGACCGGUUCUGCGGCGGUCAGAAGCCCGGCGGGAAGGUGACCCGUCUCCGAGAGGGGACGGGAGUUAUAGCCCGUCGGUGCGGACUCGUUGCGGGACCGAGGACGCUUGCCGCGUUCCACGGCCUCGGGUCGUCUUCGCACGUGCGACCUCGGCUUACUGCUCGUCAGUGUGCCGUAACUGCGCGCGUUGCACGGACCCGUCAGCCCGGGACGCCUCGGGUCAGUGGCGAAUCGGUCGGUACUCCACCCGACCCGUCUUGAAACACGGACCAAGGAGUCUAACAUGUGCGCGAGUCAUAGGGUCUUACGAAACCCGAAGGCGCAAUGAAAGUGAAGGCCGCCUCCGGUUGGCCUAGGCAGGAUCCCGUCCCAAGCGGCGGGCGCACUGCCGGCCCGUCUCGGUAGCAUUGCCUACGAGGCGGAGCAAGAGCGCACACGUUGGGACCCGAAAGAUGGUGAACUAUGCCUGAGUAGGACGAAGUCAGAGGAAACUCUGAUGGAGGUCCGUAGCGAUUCUGACGUGCAAAUCGAUCGUCAAACUUGGGUAUAGGGGCGAAAGACUA